CCCUUAGAUGUUCUGGGCCGCACGCGCGCUACACUGACGAAUGCAACGAGCUUAUAACCUUGGCCGAAAGGUCUGGGUAAUCUCCAAAUUUCGUCGUGAUGGGGAUAGAUUAUUGCAAUUAUUAAUCUUCAGCGAGGAAUGCCUAGUAAGCGCAAGUCAUCAGCUUGCGUUGAUUACGUCCCUGCCCUUUGUACACACCGCCCGUCGCUCCUACCGAUUGAAUGGUCCGGUGAAGCGUUCGGACCGUGGCCUUUGGACGGUUCGCCGUCUGUUGGCUGCGGGAAGUUCGUUAAACCUUAUCAUUUAGAGGAAGGAGAAGUCGUAACA
RNAcentral lists this ribosomal RNA (327 nucleotides) under uncultured eukaryote. RNAcentral describes it as "partial 18S ribosomal RNA". It matches the Rfam family "Eukaryotic small subunit ribosomal RNA", at positions 1470 to 1796 of the family's 1831-position model. The record is from RNAcentral.